UCCUUGGUGGGGUGGCAUGAAAGGGGCAAAGGGGACACUCGCUGGUGGCAUGGGUACGCUGUGGAGUAGGAAAGUGGCACAGGCUAUUUCAGGAGGGAUUCUGGAAGUCACACCAACUUCAACACUGAGGUUCAACCCAGGACAAGAGUGCGACCCACGGGGUUGGGAAUUUAGCUCAGUGGUAGAGCGCUUGCCUACAAAGCGCAAGGCCCCAGGUUCGGUCCUCAGCUCCGGAAAAAAAAAUUGCGUGCGACCCAGGCUCUCAGGUUCUAACAGAUUUAAUAAUUGAUAAAGAGUGCCUACAGCUUCUCAUUUUCCCCCUGCCCUCUUCUUCCUGCGUUUCCACCACAAUCUUCAGGAGAUGUGACAGGAACGUAUUAAGAAACACAAAUUUUAGUCAGCGACUUUGGCCAUAACACACAGAAAGCAGAGGGCAAGAGAAGCUGACAGGUACAAGCCAUGGUAGUCUUUUGGGGUGGCUUUGGAGGCGGGUAUUUAGAGUCACUAGGAGUGGACAGAACAGUAAAGUGUGAUGUGUAAGGAUGAAAGGAGCUGAGGUUAGUGUGUGUAAAGCUGCUUAGGAAAGGAGCUGAGGUUAGUGUGUGUAAAGCUGCUUAGGAAAGGACAGGGUCGGGGGCGGGGAGGGGGGUGGGAGGAGGCGGACGCUAGCAUUCAGCAGGUACUAGGGCUUGGGACAGAGAGAGCAUAGCUGGUGCAAAGCCCCCCCCCCCCCCCCCCCGAGGCUGUAAGAAUGCUGCACCAAUAAGAAGGGCAGUGAGGCUGUGCUCUAGGAAAGGGGAGGGAUGCAAGAAUGCUGCACCAAUAGGAACAAGGGUAGGGAGACUUGCUCUAAAAAAGUGGUGGGAUAUAAGAAUGCUGCUCCAAUAGGAACAAGAGCAGUGAGGCUGCGCUCUAGGAAAGGGGCUAAACAAAAAAACAAACAACAAACAACAACCAAAACACAAAACAAAAACAAAAACAAAAAAACAAAAAACCAGGUAAGUCAGGAGAAGUCUAUAGGAUGCAGACAGUCUCAAGCCUUGUGGGCUGUGUGGAAGAAUCUUAGGUUGUAUGCUGAAAGCUUUAGGAAGCCUCUGCAGGACUUCACAUAGAGGAGGGAUGCGACUGAAUUUGGGCUUUAGAAAAAUCGCAUCGUCUUUUCACAUUAAGUAGGAGACUGAUAGGCUACUGUAAGUGUUCAAGUAACCAUUAACAGUGGUCCAGACAAGACUAGUGAAUGGAUAGCAAGAAAAGCAGACCCAACGAGCUGAAAGUAAACACUGCCCUUGGUUAUCUGGGGACUGGAGUGGGUUUCCUUUUGCCUUUCAUUGUUGCUGAACCCAAUUAACUACUCAAAUCGUGCAGGCAGCAGCAGCGAGCGUUCCUUGCUACCCACCCCAAAGCGUUCCUUGCUACCCACCCCAAUGUGUUCUGGGUUCGUAAAUGAAACACACACAGACACACACUCACUCACAUUCACGGGGGGGAGGGGGGGGGGAGAGAGAGUUGGGAGUCCCCAGUGGAUGAGGUGGUAUAAGGCCCAUUAAUCAAAGAGAGAUGAUUCAGUCUGCUGGCCCAGUUACCCAGUGUCAAAGCCAGAGCCAGUGUCAGAGCUGGGCCUGUGUGUCUGGCCUGUCUGUCCAGCCAUGCUGCCUGUAGCUGAUUAUGACCAAACUGAGUAGAAAUGAGUCAGCUAAAACAACGAACAGGGUGGCUCGAUCGGGUCCAGGCCUGUUGACUGCCCCAAUCCUGUCUAGUUCAGUUGAUCCUCCAGAGUCGAGUCCCAGAAGAGGUUUGUGGCUCACUAGCAGCCCUUUGUGAGCGUGGGUGGGGACAAGCCCUGCCUUUUGGAACAAAAAGAAGGGGGGAGGGGGGUGGAAAUGAAGCAAAUUCUCAUUUGCUUAUGUAAAGCUUGAAGUGUUAAUUAGCCUGGUUUUCAGCUUUCUUCUGAGAGCUUCCUCUGGGCUUUGUAAAGGAUGCAUCUGCUGGCUGCAGGGUGGUGGGGGAAGAGGUUGAGGAGGCUGUGUGGUAAUUAAGAAGAGUCUGAAGGUCUUCGAUGAGUAAGCUCUCUGGGGCUCCGGGACCCACCAUGUCUGCUGUGGGAGCAGAAUCAUAGAACUGAUUUUUGCCUGGGAAAGGAAGAUUGGGCUCCUCUGACAGGGCCUGAGGGAUACCUACCCAGCAGGCAAGCCGCUGGCUGGGAGAGGUUCUGAGCCUGGUAGCCAUGGUGUGUGGAGGAGUGGCUUGCCACCCCUUAGAUGUGUCUGGAGCUAUGGAUGGAGAUGCUGGGGGGAACAGCAUUUACAGACAGCCUCAGAGAGCCUAGCACAGACAAACAGUUGUUGCCCACCCCCACCCCACCCCUGUGUACCCAGGAGGUCCUUCCAAAAGUCUUAAAGCGUGUCUGCAGGCUGACAGGAGCAAGUCCAUCCAUCCUGAGCCCUGGGAGUGAGGAUGCUGCUAACUUGUCUUUGCUACAGAGUGUAAUGAUAUUUUAGAACAGCACUUCUCAACCUUCCUAAUGCUGCAACCCUUUAAUUCAGUUCCUCAUGUUGGGGUGACCCCCAGUCAUACAAAUCACUUCCUUGCUACUUCAUGACUGUGUAUUCGCUACUGCUAUGAAUCAUAAUGUAAUUAUCUGAUAUGCAUGGUAUCUGAUCUAUGAUUGCCAAAGGGGCCGUGACCCAUAGGUUGAGAACCACUGCUCUGGAAAGUACUGGUGUUAUGGCUGUGGUGCUGCUGUGGGAAGUGCUGGUGCGUGGAAAGACUGGUAUUACGGAGGAGCUGAUUGUUGGGGUAGAAAUCUCAGCUCACGUCCGGACAAACCACUCCAGGCCAACAUGGUUCCAUGUGGAAAGGUUUAAUGAGAGAAGAAGAGUAGAAGAGGAGAGGAGUAAAGGCUGGCCAUGAGCACGUGGAGGGAAGUGGGGAGGGGAAUGAGGAAAGGAGGGACAAAGGGGAAGAGGGCAAGAGCAAGAGGCAAGAAAGUGAGGAGGGGGCAAGCAGCUCCUUUUAUAGUGUCAAGCACAGCUGGCUGUUGCCAGGUAACUGUGGGGCGGAGCAUACCUGGCUAUUGCCAAAUAACUGUGGGGGUGGAGCUUAGACAGAAUGCUAACACUGAUGCUGUGGAAGGUUCAUGGUACAUGGAAGAACGAUGUCACAGAUAGAAGGCUGUGGUGUUCUGAGCAGCCCUAAUGCUAUUGGAGGAGCUGGUGACACAGAGGCGUCUGAUACACAUAGGGCACCAGAUCCAGGAGGAAUUUUGGUGCUAUGGAGGGUGCUGGUGGAACAAAAGCCCAAAGAGCCUUGCCAGAGGUCUGCCAACCUAGGUGCUCAAGGAUACUCUUCAUGCACAUCUAAGGGGCUGGAGAGAUGGCUCAGUGGUUAAGAGAACCACAUGGUGGCUCACAACCAUCUGUAAUGGGAUCCGAUGCCCUCUUCUGGAGUGUCUGAAGACAGCUCAGUGUACUCAUAUAAAAUAAAAUAAAUUUUAAAAAAAAUCUUAAAAAAGAAAAA
Non-coding RNA from Rattus norvegicus (Norway rat), 3516 nucleotides. Lineage: Eukaryota; Metazoa; Chordata; Mammalia; Rodentia; Muridae. The record is from RefSeq and is a predicted model, not a curated record.